RNAcentral lists this ribosomal RNA (445 nucleotides) under uncultured bacterium. RNAcentral's name for it is "partial 16S ribosomal RNA". It matches the Rfam family "Bacterial small subunit ribosomal RNA", at positions 354 to 796 of the family's 1533-position model. The record is from RNAcentral.
GUGAGGAAUAUUGGACAAUGGGCGCAAGCCUGAUCCAGCCAUGCCGCGUGCAGGAAGACGCAUCUAUGGUGUGUAAACUGCUUUUGUACGGGAAGAAACACUCCCUCGUGAGGGAGCUUGACGGUACCGUAAGAAUAAGGAUCGGCUAACUCCGUGCCAGCAGCCGCGGUAAUACGGAGGAUCCAAGCGUUAUCCGGAAUCAUUGGGUUUAAAGGGUCCGUAGGCGGUUUAAUAAGUCAGUGGUGAAAGCCCAUCGCUCAACGAUGGAACGGCCAUUGAUACUGUUAGACUUGAAUUACAAGGAAGUAACUAGAAUAUGUAGUGUAGCGGUGAAAUGCUUAGAUAUUACAUGGAAUACCAAUUGCGAAGGCAGGUUACUACUUGUGGAUUGACGCUGAUGGACGAAAGCGUGGGGAGCGAACAGGAUUAGAUAACCUAGUAGUCC